CGCGUAGGCGGUCUUGCAAGUCCCGUGUGAAAUCCCUCGGCUCAACUGAGGAACUGCACGGGAAACUGCUUGGCUUGAGUUCGGGAGAGGGAAGCGGAAUUCCGGGUGUAGCGGUGAAAUGCGUAGAUAUCCGGAGGAACACCGGUGGCGAAGGCGGCUUCCUGGACCGACACUGACGCUGAGGCGCGAAAGCUAGGGGAGCAAACGGGAUUAGAUACCCCGGUAGUCCUAGCUGUAAACGAUGAGUGCUGGGUGUAGAGGGUAUUAACCCCUUCUGUGCCGAAGCUAACGCAUUAAGCACUCCGCCUGGGGAGUACGGUCGCAAGGCUGAA
RNAcentral lists this ribosomal RNA (332 nucleotides) under uncultured Acidobacteriota bacterium. RNAcentral describes it as "bacterial SSU rRNA". It matches the Rfam family "Bacterial small subunit ribosomal RNA", at positions 568 to 898 of the family's 1533-position model. Lineage: Bacteria; Pseudomonadati; Acidobacteriota. The record is from RNAcentral.